Molecule: long non-coding RNA, 1961 nt
Organism: Cucumis sativus (cucumber)
Lineage: Eukaryota; Viridiplantae; Streptophyta; Magnoliopsida; Cucurbitales; Cucurbitaceae
Exons: 3
Source: RefSeq, a predicted model, not a curated record
UGAUAAUUAUAGGUAUGUUCUCUCUCCCUUUCUUACAAUAAGGAUAGUAGCAACAAAAAUUACUACAUGUUCUAUAUUGAAAGGAAAAACAAAAAAAUGAUGGUGAAUUAAGAUUUAUUUUGUAUGGUAGAAUUUUAUUUGCCACUUACCAUGCUAGAUCUUUCCAAGAGGAGUAAAUUUGAAAAUGUCGAAAUAGACCCUCUGCUUGAAACAUAAACCGCGAUGUAUGUUAUACACAUUGAAAAGGUAUGAAUGUGUAUGUUGAAACUUAAGCCUAUACACUUUCCAAGAGAAUUUCUGUAUGUUAUCUAUUUGGUUUUUGGCUUUAAGUUUUUGAAACUUAAGCCUAUACACUUUUUUUACCUCUACUUUUUAUCAACGUUUUUAAACUAUAUUUUCUUCCUAUGACUACCUUAUGACAUUUUGAAUAAUUGAUUGAAUUGAGGAUUAGCAGAAAGUUCUCUUACUUCAAGGACGUUGUCGUUAUUUGUUCAAGUAAGUAGUGUCUACCUCCCUACCAAAAUACAUAUUCAACUAUUGUGGUUUAAAGUAUAUUUUGUAUAAUUCUAGUCUCGUUGAAAGUGUUUUAGUCUAAUUAGUAUGGUAUAUUAGUAGUAUAUCAACGUUUGCUUGAAUUAAUAUCAUCCAAAAUCUUCAUAGUAGUUCUUUCCUUACUUUGAAAGAUCUUGUUGUUCCUUUCCAACAAUAGUGUUGGAAAUUGGGGGGAGGGGGGAUUAAGGGCUUUAUGAGAGUUAUCAACUCAACUUUGUCAAAUUGUCAUGUAAAUGGAGUACGAUUUAAUCAUUGAACAUUUUUUCAUACUUAGGGCUUGAAGAAUCCUCGAGAGAGUGACAGUGCUUGUUGAAUUUUUAUGAAAAUGCAACAUUGAAAAGGUUGAUGAGUUUCCAAUUUCAAAAGUCUACCUAAAGCUCUAUUGUUUGUUUAACUCAAAGGUAAAAAAAAGUAAAGUAUUUGGACUUGCACCGAAUAGAGCCAUGGUAAGUUUCCAAUUUCAAAAGUUUACCUAAAGCUCUAUUGUUUAUUGAUGAGUUUCCAUAGAAUUUUGAAGGUUUGAGAAGAGUUGUGGAAAUUUGGGACAAUACCACCCUCCUUACUUGUACUUAUUCUCAUUCUUAUUAAGUACUUUUUCUAACUACGUUUCUUUGGCCCCUCAAGGAUAUGUCAAACUGUUCAACUUUAAGGACUACAAAUUGUCAUACAUGUAUUGUCGUAGCGUUUUUGUUGUAAGGACUAGGAACGACCCAACUUUAAGGACUACAAAUGGUUAUUUUGCUCUACUUUAAACAUUGUGAACUUUUCAUUGAUGAAAUUUGCAUACCUUAGACAUUUUCUUUUUGAAGUACCUUUCUUACCAUGGACAAUAGUGCAGUAAGCCUAGGGAGGUUGAUGAAAAAUAUUCAGGAGUGGUUGUAUAUAUAUUGGUUUGAUGUGCCCUAAACCUCAACCCUAUCUAGUGCUUUAUGCACACAUACACACACUUGAACUCUCUGUAUUUGUCUCUUUUUGUCUCCAUGAAUAAUGAGAAGUCAAUACAAACAGAUGAAUUCUCUGUUUGGUUCUCUUUCUCUAUCUCGAUGUUGGAGAAAAGCUAAAUAUUUGAGGCAUUGAUUUCAGGAAUUGGUGCAAGGGUUUGAUCAAGAGGCUGCUGCAGUUGUUGUGGCAAGAUUAACUUCAUAAAAAAUGGAGAUAGAGGUUCAACCAGAGUCGACAACUUCAUGAGUUUUCUUUCAAAGAACAUUUUCAGAGACGAACAUUCUCAGUUGGUCGUUUAUGCUUUUGCAGAAAAUCUUGUUAGAUGUAUUCUAAUGCUAUUUAAAAUAUUUUUUGAUUAAGGGUUGAUAUUCUGUAGUUGUAAAUUGUUGACACUUGAUUGAAAAUGUACGAAUAUUAUAAAUUGUAUUAUAUCGUAUAUAUAUUAAAGUGUUGACUACUUUUUUCUA